AUUGAACGCUGGCGGCAGGCCUAACACAUGCAAGUCGAGCGGAUGAAGGGAGCUUGCUCCUGGAUUCAGCGGCGGACGGGUGAGUAAUGCCUAGGAAUCUGCCUGGUAGUGGGGGAUAACGUCCGGAAACGGGCGCUAAUACCGCAUACGCCCUGAGGGAGAAAGUGGGGGAUCUUCGGACCUCACGCUAUCAGAUGAGCCUAGGUCGGAUUAGCUAGUUGGUGGGGUAAAGGCCUACCAAGGCGACGAUCCGUAACUGGUCUGAGAGGAUGAUCAGUCACACUGGAACUGAGACACGGUCCAGACUCCUACGGGAGGCGGCAGUGGGGAAUAUUGGACAAUGGGCGAAAGCCUGAUCCAGCCAUGCCGCGUGUGUGAAGAAGGUCUUCGGAUUGUAAAGCACUUUAAGUUGGGAGGAAGGGCAGUAAGUUAAUACCUUGCUGUUUUGACGUUACCAACAGAAUAAGCACCGGCUAACUUCGUG
This 484-nucleotide ribosomal RNA is filed under the name uncultured bacterium. Its description in RNAcentral is "partial 16S ribosomal RNA". It matches the Rfam family "Bacterial small subunit ribosomal RNA", at positions 30 to 507 of the family's 1533-position model. The record is from RNAcentral.